This is a long non-coding RNA of Triticum aestivum (bread wheat), 2137 nucleotides long. RefSeq lists it as uncharacterized. The record is from RefSeq and is a predicted model, not a curated record. The transcript has 6 exons. NCBI's taxonomy places the organism in Eukaryota, Viridiplantae, Streptophyta, Magnoliopsida, Poales, Poaceae.
UGAGAUACGCGAGCGUCUGUAAGUAUUGAAAAAGAAGAAAUACACCUGAGCUAUCGCUAGGACGGAGACAAAGGAACGGCGGUCGUAGACGGCAGGAAGUUGAGCCGUGGCUCAACUCGUGGGGCUCCUUCCUGAUCCGUGGCUCAGGAUUCGUGGUACUGUCGUCUCCUACCUUACCCUGCUGGAUUCAAUGGGUGGGAGUUGUGGAGACGCCGCCGCCGCCGCCCGAUUCAGGCGAAUCCAUUCCCGGCUAUGAAAUUCCUUCUGCAGCUGAUUAGUACUCCUAGAAGAUCCCCUUUGGUUGAGGAGGUGGAUGGAAGUCAUCUCCCCAUGGAUCUGCUGGAUAAAGGACGGCGACGUCUUUCAGGGCAGUGGAAGAGCCGCCGCCGGCAUCCUUUAGGGCAGACGUGCGGAACAGUCAGAAACAGGCAGGCGUGGAUGGACGACGGGAGAGCUCGGCCCAGUUGUCUGCAAAAUGGAUGCACCCUGGUGGUCAAAGAGUAUUUGAUGGAGAACAAUGAUUUCAUGGCCAUCGGAAUAAUUGGUCCACCUGGUUUGGCAUGUCAACCACCAUGAACGAGCUUUAUUGCAUUAUAUUCUUCCUUUGGAAUUAAUCUGUGUUCAUCUAAUUAAAAUACGGAUAAUUUGUUGAAGUAACAUAUGUGACCCAUCAUUUUAAACCUCAAUUAUCUUCACCAAACAAGGAAAAUAAAAUUGAUAACCUAUGAGGCAAUGAAGACAGCAUGGCCAAUCUCUGCUCUGUUUUCUGCACACCGGAAAAGUGACAAUGAACACUGGCGAAACAUAUGACCAAGAGUCCACAGGACCUAGAUCAUCGACUCUGCCCAGGCCGCUCCAGCAGUAGUGAGGAUCCCUUACAGUAUGAUAAUUGAUAUGCUAACAGAACUAGGAUUACCAAAGGUUUAAUAUCGUUAGAAAAUAUAUGACGGCAGCAAGGCCUGUGUCACUGUCUUUUGUAGCACUCCUAUGCUACUCCAUGAUUGUGAAUCUACCCGUGCAUCCAUAUCUACAGUCCUUUCCAUAGAUGAUGAUGCAGCAGAGGACACAGUUGCUAUUGAAGCUAAAGGUGCUUGGAAAACGCAACCAACACAGAGAUCAGACUACAAUGAAAAUCACAUGAAGCGCCUCCAAACCUGAAUGAGCAGCUCAUGCACCUGCUCAACAUAGUGAAUGGGAGCAAAGAAAAGCUUGCCAGGGGUUGAUUCCUUGCCGUGAGGCACAUGAGGUCCUUCUGUAAACAAAUACAAAACUUGACCUCUAUAAUGCCCAAGACGCCAUAAGAUGAGGUCAUAAACACAGCUCUAGGCAAUAUCAGUGGUAGCAUUUUAAUUCUGCACAGUGAGCUAUGUAGUAGAUUUGCUGUCACUUGUGAUGUAACUCUUUUGAUGUGAAUCCUAAGUGAUGCAAUUUGUGCUUUGGGUGCAGGGGAGGCUGCUGAUGGGGGCUAACCUGGCUAUCGAGGGACAUGCUAGCGAGAUAUGCACAAGGGCAAUGUUUGGGCGUAUAUUUUAUGAGUGUGGCGCAUACCAGGUUUUAUAUGCGAAGAAGAACAGAUCAUAUCUUGCAAUGAUGGAGGGUGGGGAUGACUUUGACUGUGAGUGUGGGCAGUUCGCCCACAUGGGUAUACUACACACCCAUGUUUUUGAGGUAUUGUUUUCCUUAAAUUAGUAUAGUUUACAGUACUAGCAAUGCAAAUGUGGAGGGUUGGUACCAAAAAAUGAACAAUGUUGUUUUUAGAAAAUGUGGGUACUGGACUUUAUCCAUGUGAAGCAGAUCCCCGAGACACACAUACUAGCAUAGCACUAGUGAAAAUCUAAAUAGUACCUACAACCUCGGAAGCUUGCUAGGUGCGAGAAUUGUGGGGUUAAGGGCCACAGGAGAAACAACUGCACAGAACCAAUGGAUCUGAGAUUAGGGGGUGUCUGAUGCUGGUGUGAAGUGCAUGGCUGCAGCAGCAGCAUCAGUUCUGACUGAUGAAAACCAAGGAGAGCAAGGGUGUAAUCUAAAGAUAUGUUGAUGUGUUCUGGGCAUUUUCUAUUUAUGUUGUACUCAUGUACUGUGUGGUACCGUCCGGCAGUGAGGCUGGCUAUGGAUGUAUCUAUGCAGUGCAUUUCCA